RNAcentral lists this ribosomal RNA (494 nucleotides) under uncultured bacterium. RNAcentral's name for it is "partial 16S ribosomal RNA". It matches the Rfam family "Bacterial small subunit ribosomal RNA", at positions 28 to 504 of the family's 1533-position model. The record is from RNAcentral.
GAUGAACGCUGGCGGCGUGCCUAAUACAUGCAAGUCGAGCGAACGGACGAGAAGCUUGCUUCUCUGAUGUUAGCGGCGGACGGGUGAGUAACACGUGGAUAACCUACCUAUAAGACUGGGAUAACUUCGGGAAACCGGAGCUAAUACCGGAUAAUAUUUUGAACCGCAUGGUUCAAAAGUGAAAGACGGUCUUGCUGUCACUUAUAGAUGGAUCCGCGCUGCAUUAGCUAGUUGGUAAGGUAACGGCUUACCAAGGCAACGAUGCAUAGCCGACCUGAGAGGGGGACCGGCCAAACUGGAACUGAGACACGGUCCAGACUCCUACGGGAGGCAGCAGUAGGGAAUCUUCCGCAAGGGGCGAAAGCCUGACGGAGCAACGCCGCGGGAGGGAUGAAGGUCUUCGGAUCGUAAAACUCUGUUAUUAGGGAAGAACAUAUGUGUAAGUAACUGGGCACAUCUUGACGGUACCUAAUCAGAAAGCCACGGCUAACUAC